RNAcentral lists this long non-coding RNA (26722 nucleotides) under Solanum tuberosum (potato). Its description in RNAcentral is "long non-coding RNA (STUB_LNC003066)". Lineage: Eukaryota; Viridiplantae; Streptophyta; Magnoliopsida; Solanales; Solanaceae. The record is from RNAcentral.
ACCUGCAGGUGGUGGAGCUUCCAACGGCACAUCCUCGAAGAAACGGAAACUUUCAUAACGGAAGUUGCACCUAACCCCUAUGAUUCUUCCACCCCUCUUACCCAGACAGGGACAGCGAGGCAUGUUUCCAUAAGCGUCACUUAAGCAACUGAAGCAACUCUGACGAGAUAAAUCAGGAGUACAUUGCACAAGUGCAUAUAUAGCCUGAAAAUCUGGACCUGUCGCAUUACCACUAGCAUAUUUUUGAAGAGGACCAUCAUCUACAGCACGAUCUCGUAAAUUUUCCAAUAAUCUCCCUAGCUCCUGGUUAAAUUCCUCGGGUUUUGUGGCAUUCGCAGGAUUCCUAAAGUAAUAUUUAAGAGAAAAUGAUAUAGUUUCUAAAAUGGAUUGAUUUGAAUACUGUAACAUACAUCCAUCAUAGCCACCGAAAACUUCUUUUUGGUUAGGACAUAACUGUGCAAUCUUUUGAACAACAUUAUCGACACAAACGCGACAAUCGUCUAGCUCCACAUCUCCUCUACAUAACACAAUAACGCUGGCUCUAUCAGAGUUUUGGCCAAUAGAAGCAUUGUAGAAACCAUAGUUGUCUAUUUUUGAGGAAAGGGAAGUGAGGAGUGUGUUUAGAUUGUUCUUGUAGGUACUAUUCUCAGUAUAGUUACCAUUGCCACCACAUGAACCAAAUCGUAAAUCAGGCAGCUGCGCUACAAUAUUGAGAACAUGUAUAUGCAAAAACAGAAUGAGUAGCCACUUUUGAAUAGCCAUGGCUAUUUCUGUUUUAAGUUACAAGCAAAUUUUGAUAUCAGUGCUGAAUAUGUAAAAUAGAACCUAGAACAGGAAGAGCUUGUAAAAAGAGUUGGAGACAAAAGUAUUGACCGGGGUGUAGUCAACUACAUUUGUCUUGGCAGUACAAUUUCUGACUUAUUAGUUAAGCAAGAAAAGGAUAUUCAUAUUUAAAGGCUAGCUGCAAAACUAACACUCGGUUGGAUUGGAUUCAAAUUUUAAAAGAAAAAGAGCUUUUAAAAUUAUUUGUAAUAAUCUUAAAUAUGCUGUAACAUUUAUCUUGUAUAAUAAAAGUAUGAUUGUUAAAGUAUAAAAUGAAAUUAUUUUUAGAUACAAAAUAUAAGAAAAUACUAUCAAAUUUCUUUUAAACAAACUGUAGUUCUUUUGAAAUAAUGUCACGUACAAUGGAAUUAAUAAGGAAUAGUACCAACAUUUGACUUGGUCUAUAUCUUUUGGUUGAAUAAUUGACUUUUAAGGGUGCAUUUGUGAAUAUUUUUGAAAAAUAUCUUUUGCAGAGAAAUAAUUAGGAAGAAAAUGUCUUUUCUUUAAGGAAAAAUCAAGUUCUACGAAUGAUACUUUAUAUAGAUUUUGUCAUUUUCACCCUUCAAUAUAUCUCAUAUUUAUCCCAUCCUGCACCUAUCUGCCCACAACACGGUCCUUACGUCAGAUAUCAUUUGUUUUAAAUUAUAUAUAAAUAUUUUUGAAAUGAUAUUUACUUAUACACGAAACACAAAAUAAUAAUUAAAAACUCAUUUAUUUUUUUUAAUAAUAUUUCAGCACAAAAUAGUUCCAUUCAUACCAAACAUACCAUAGAUCAAUUAAUGGAAUUUCUACGGCUCUAAUUUAUGGCAGUGAUGUGACAUGAGUAGAUAAUAACAAGCCAUCAAGGUGGGAAAAUAAUAACUAUAUUCUUCGAUCUUCUAGGUGAAGUUGAAAGUUACUCCCUUCGUCUCCGCUUCGUUUUAGUUAUUAUAAUAAGGAUUUAACACACUUCUAAGAAAAAAUUAAUAAUAAAAUGUUAUAUAUAUACACAAGCCAUCAAGGUGGGAAAAUAAUAACUAUAUUCUUCGAUCUUCUAGGUGAAGUUGAAAGUUACUCCCUUCGUCUCCGCUUCGUUUUAGUUAUUAUAAUAAGGAUUUAACACACUUCUAAGAAAAAAUUAAUAAUAAAAUGUUAUAUAUAUACACAAGCCAUCAAGGUGGGAAAAUAAUAACUAUAUUCUUCGAUCUUCUAGGUGAAGUUGAAAGUUACUCCCUUCGUCUCCGCUUCGUUUUAGUUAUUAUAAUAAGGAUUUAACACACUUCUAAGAAAAAAUUAAUAAUAAAAUGUUAUAUAUAUACACAAGCCAUCAAGGUGGGAAAAUAAUAACUAUAUUCUUCGAUCUUCUAGGUGAAGUUGAAAGUUACUCCCUUCGUCUCCGCUUCGUUUUAGUUAUUAUAAUAAGGAUUUAACACACUUCUAAGAAAAAAUUAAUAAUAAAAUGUUAUAUAUAUACACAAGCCAUCAAGGUGGGAAAAUAAUAACUAUAUUCUUCGAUCUUCUAGGUGAAGUUGAAAGUUACUCCCUUCGUCUCCGCUUCGUUUUAGUUAUUAUAAUAAGGAUUUAACACACUUCUAAGAAAAAAUUAAUAAUAAAAUGUUAUAUAUAUACACAAGCCAUCAAGGUGGGAAAAUAAUAACUAUAUUCUUCGAUCUUCUAGGUGAAGUUGAAAGUUACUCCCUUCGUCUCCGCUUCGUUUUAGUUAUUAUAAUAAGGAUUUAACACACUUCUAAGAAAAAAUUAAUAAUAAAAUGUUAUAUAUAUACACAAGCCAUCAAGGUGGGAAAAUAAUAACUAUAUUCUUCGAUCUUCUAGGUGAAGUUGAAAGUUACUCCCUUCGUCUCCGCUUCGUUUUAGUUAUUAUAAUAAGGAUUUAACACACUUCUAAGAAAAAAUUAAUAAUAAAAUGUUAUAUAUAUACACAAGCCAUCAAGGUGGGAAAAUAAUAACUAUAUUCUUCGAUCUUCUAGGUGAAGUUGAAAGUUACUCCCUUCGUCUCCGCUUCGUUUUAGUUAUUAUAAUAAGGAUUUAACACACUUCUAAGAAAAAAUUAAUAAUAAAAUGUUAUAUAUAUACACAAGCCAUCAAGGUGGGAAAAUAAUAACUAUAUUCUUCGAUCUUCUAGGUGAAGUUGAAAGUUACUCCCUUCGUCUCCGCUUCGUUUUAGUUAUUAUAAUAAGGAUUUAACACACUUCUAAGAAAAAAUUAAUAAUAAAAUGUUAUAUAUAUACACAAGCCAUCAAGGUGGGAAAAUAAUAACUAUAUUCUUCGAUCUUCUAGGUGAAGUUGAAAGUUACUCCCUUCGUCUCCGCUUCGUUUUAGUUAUUAUAAUAAGGAUUUAACACACUUCUAAGAAAAAAUUAAUAAUAAAAUGUUAUAUAUAUACACAAGCCAUCAAGGUGGGAAAAUAAUAACUAUAUUCUUCGAUCUUCUAGGUGAAGUUGAAAGUUACUCCCUUCGUCUCCGCUUCGUUUUAGUUAUUAUAAUAAGGAUUUAACACACUUCUAAGAAAAAAUUAAUAAUAAAAUGUUAUAUAUAUACACAAGCCAUCAAGGUGGGAAAAUAAUAACUAUAUUCUUCGAUCUUCUAGGUGAAGUUGAAAGUUACUCCCUUCGUCUCCGCUUCGUUUUAGUUAUUAUAAUAAGGAUUUAACACACUUCUAAGAAAAAAUUAAUAAUAAAAUGUUAUAUAUAUACACAAGCCAUCAAGGUGGGAAAAUAAUAACUAUAUUCUUCGAUCUUCUAGGUGAAGUUGAAAGUUACUCCCUUCGUCUCCGCUUCGUUUUAGUUAUUAUAAUAAGGAUUUAACACACUUCUAAGAAAAAAUUAAUAAUAAAAUGUUAUAUAUAUACACAAGCCAUCAAGGUGGGAAAAUAAUAACUAUAUUCUUCGAUCUUCUAGGUGAAGUUGAAAGUUACUCCCUUCGUCUCCGCUUCGUUUUAGUUAUUAUAAUAAGGAUUUAACACACUUCUAAGAAAAAAUUAAUAAUAAAAUGUUAUAUAUAUACACAAGCCAUCAAGGUGGGAAAAUAAUAACUAUAUUCUUCGAUCUUCUAGGUGAAGUUGAAAGUUACUCCCUUCGUCUCCGCUUCGUUUUAGUUAUUAUAAUAAGGAUUUAACACACUUCUAAGAAAAAAUUAAUAAUAAAAUGUUAUAUAUAUACACAAGCCAUCAAGGUGGGAAAAUAAUAACUAUAUUCUUCGAUCUUCUAGGUGAAGUUGAAAGUUACUCCCUUCGUCUCCGCUUCGUUUUAGUUAUUAUAAUAAGGAUUUAACACACUUCUAAGAAAAAAUUAAUAAUAAAAUGUUAUAUAUAUACACAAGCCAUCAAGGUGGGAAAAUAAUAACUAUAUUCUUCGAUCUUCUAGGUGAAGUUGAAAGUUACUCCCUUCGUCUCCGCUUCGUUUUAGUUAUUAUAAUAAGGAUUUAACACACUUCUAAGAAAAAAUUAAUAAUAAAAUGUUAUAUAUAUACACAAGCCAUCAAGGUGGGAAAAUAAUAACUAUAUUCUUCGAUCUUCUAGGUGAAGUUGAAAGUUACUCCCUUCGUCUCCGCUUCGUUUUAGUUAUUAUAAUAAGGAUUUAACACACUUCUAAGAAAAAAUUAAUAAUAAAAUGUUAUAUAUAUACACAAGCCAUCAAGGUGGGAAAAUAAUAACUAUAUUCUUCGAUCUUCUAGGUGAAGUUGAAAGUUACUCCCUUCGUCUCCGCUUCGUUUUAGUUAUUAUAAUAAGGAUUUAACACACUUCUAAGAAAAAAUUAAUAAUAAAAUGUUAUAUAUAUACACAAGCCAUCAAGGUGGGAAAAUAAUAACUAUAUUCUUCGAUCUUCUAGGUGAAGUUGAAAGUUACUCCCUUCGUCUCCGCUUCGUUUUAGUUAUUAUAAUAAGGAUUUAACACACUUCUAAGAAAAAAUUAAUAAUAAAAUGUUAUAUAUAUACACAAGCCAUCAAGGUGGGAAAAUAAUAACUAUAUUCUUCGAUCUUCUAGGUGAAGUUGAAAGUUACUCCCUUCGUCUCCGCUUCGUUUUAGUUAUUAUAAUAAGGAUUUAACACACUUCUAAGAAAAAAUUAAUAAUAAAAUGUUAUAUAUAUACACAAGCCAUCAAGGUGGGAAAAUAAUAACUAUAUUCUUCGAUCUUCUAGGUGAAGUUGAAAGUUACUCCCUUCGUCUCCGCUUCGUUUUAGUUAUUAUAAUAAGGAUUUAACACACUUCUAAGAAAAAAUUAAUAAUAAAAUGUUAUAUAUAUACACAAGCCAUCAAGGUGGGAAAAUAAUAACUAUAUUCUUCGAUCUUCUAGGUGAAGUUGAAAGUUACUCCCUUCGUCUCCGCUUCGUUUUAGUUAUUAUAAUAAGGAUUUAACACACUUCUAAGAAAAAAUUAAUAAUAAAAUGUUAUAUAUAUACACAAGCCAUCAAGGUGGGAAAAUAAUAACUAUAUUCUUCGAUCUUCUAGGUGAAGUUGAAAGUUACUCCCUUCGUCUCCGCUUCGUUUUAGUUAUUAUAAUAAGGAUUUAACACACUUCUAAGAAAAAAUUAAUAAUAAAAUGUUAUAUAUAUACACAAGCCAUCAAGGUGGGAAAAUAAUAACUAUAUUCUUCGAUCUUCUAGGUGAAGUUGAAAGUUACUCCCUUCGUCUCCGCUUCGUUUUAGUUAUUAUAAUAAGGAUUUAACACACUUCUAAGAAAAAAUUAAUAAUAAAAUGUUAUAUAUAUACACAAGCCAUCAAGGUGGGAAAAUAAUAACUAUAUUCUUCGAUCUUCUAGGUGAAGUUGAAAGUUACUCCCUUCGUCUCCGCUUCGUUUUAGUUAUUAUAAUAAGGAUUUAACACACUUCUAAGAAAAAAUUAAUAAUAAAAUGUUAUAUAUAUACACAAGCCAUCAAGGUGGGAAAAUAAUAACUAUAUUCUUCGAUCUUCUAGGUGAAGUUGAAAGUUACUCCCUUCGUCUCCGCUUCGUUUUAGUUAUUAUAAUAAGGAUUUAACACACUUCUAAGAAAAAAUUAAUAAUAAAAUGUUAUAUAUAUACACAAGCCAUCAAGGUGGGAAAAUAAUAACUAUAUUCUUCGAUCUUCUAGGUGAAGUUGAAAGUUACUCCCUUCGUCUCCGCUUCGUUUUAGUUAUUAUAAUAAGGAUUUAACACACUUCUAAGAAAAAAUUAAUAAUAAAAUGUUAUAUAUAUACACAAGCCAUCAAGGUGGGAAAAUAAUAACUAUAUUCUUCGAUCUUCUAGGUGAAGUUGAAAGUUACUCCCUUCGUCUCCGCUUCGUUUUAGUUAUUAUAAUAAGGAUUUAACACACUUCUAAGAAAAAAUUAAUAAUAAAAUGUUAUAUAUAUACACAAGCCAUCAAGGUGGGAAAAUAAUAACUAUAUUCUUCGAUCUUCUAGGUGAAGUUGAAAGUUACUCCCUUCGUCUCCGCUUCGUUUUAGUUAUUAUAAUAAGGAUUUAACACACUUCUAAGAAAAAAUUAAUAAUAAAAUGUUAUAUAUAUACACAAGCCAUCAAGGUGGGAAAAUAAUAACUAUAUUCUUCGAUCUUCUAGGUGAAGUUGAAAGUUACUCCCUUCGUCUCCGCUUCGUUUUAGUUAUUAUAAUAAGGAUUUAACACACUUCUAAGAAAAAAUUAAUAAUAAAAUGUUAUAUAUAUACACAAGCCAUCAAGGUGGGAAAAUAAUAACUAUAUUCUUCGAUCUUCUAGGUGAAAUUAAAAAAUAAUUUUUGAGUAUACAUGACAAUUAAAAAAGAUGGAAAUAGUAUUGAUUAAUUUAUAUAUUUUAUUUGUUUACUAUUAUUUUCAUAAAUAACCACUAUAACAAACUAAAUUAUGUUCCAUAGCAAUAGUUUGCAUGUUUGCAUAAUUAGCGGGUACAGUUGUAUAGUUAAGCUAUUUUUGUAUAAAUUCGAAAUAACUAAUUUAUACAAAUACAAACAUCUGAAUUUUAAACAGUUAUAUGAAUUAUAUUAUACAAAAUUACAUUAUACAAAAGCUAUACAAAUUUCGAAUUAUACAAACUCAAAAUCCUAACCCGUGUAAUUAUCAUUGAAUAUUGAUCGCGAGUGAUAAUUAACUAAAACUAUAGAUAUGAUGACUAAUUAACUAAUAUAUGUUUACUUAAUCAUCUAAAUUUUUCAUUAAAGAAAGUAUGAGUCAUCUAUAAACUUGAUGUAUAAUUAAUGGGCGAUGUCAAAUUCCUUAAUCUAUUAGUCAAUUAUUAUCAACUAUAUACACCUAUAUCUUACAAGAUUUUAAAAAUAUAUUUAUUUUAUUUUUAAAGAGUUCACGGUAGUAAUAAGACCAUCCUAAGGUAUAAAUUACUUUUUUAACAAAUAUUUGAACAAUGCUAAUAAAUUAUGGUUGUCGAUAUUAUUAUAAUUUUUUUUUUUGCCAAACAUGCCAUCCAUGAUAUUUUGCUAAAUGUUUGCUCAGUUAGAAUUAUUUUUUUUAUUAAUUCAACUAAGCCAGUAUUAUUUAUUUUAAAACUUUAAUUUUACAAAUUGUUACGAAUCUGUAAUUAUUCAGAAUUUCAGCUUACCCGUCUCAAUAAAUAGGGGUAAAAAUACAUUUCCAUUACUAUUGAAAAACUACACCACUUUUACAAGUUCAAUAAGUAAUACUUAUGACACAAAUUAGUCCAACAACAAAAGAAUCAUUGAUAAAUCAAUCGCAAGAACCCCUAACUAAUUGGGUUCGAACAAAUAGCAAAGUAAAUAAGAAAAUCUAUCAAGUAACAACAUAUUCGCAUUCGGGGUUCACACCAGACCUAUAAAUGAAUGAUACACGUUUGGAUAUAUUUAGAGAGACUUUUAGCACUAUAUGUAUGGAUGUUUUAUCGAGGAUGCAACUCAGUUAUCAAAUCCUGAUUUCCUGAAGAACAUAUUGAUUUAUUUUCGGAAAUUGUUGAAUUGAAAUCUCCAAAGUGUAAAAUCUGUGGGUUUACUUCGUUGUGUGGAACUGGAAGACUCAAAGAGUGACUACUGAGCAUGAGAAGUACUUCACCCAUGUUUGGUCUAUUAGCAACAUUUUCUUGAACGCACAAUAAAGCAAUGUGGAUGUAUCUCACUAUGUCACCAACAGGUCCUGAGCUUCCCCUCAGCAUAGGGUCUAUCAAAUUUGAAACUGUUUCUUCGCGCCAGUUCAACCAAGCCUGUGAUAGAUCAGGACACACAAAAUCAUAAAUUAUACUACCUCUGAUUCACAUGAUGCAUUACGUUCCUCUUGAGAAAGAUAUUUGAUGGCAAUGUUUAUAUAUACAAAGUGUUGGUCUAAAUAGCAAUUAAUUUUUCUUUUGAUUGUGUCGAUUAGUAAACUAGUUUGGAAUUGAUCGAGGAAUACUUAAUUGAUUGGUUGACCAGCUAGUUACUUACAACGCUCAGAAGGUCUUCCACAGAAUCUCCUUUUCUGGAACAAAUGUUUCGUUGACCGCUUAUAAUUUCCAGGACUAGUACUCCAAAGCUAUAAACAUCUGAUUUCACUGAAAAUUGCCCCUGCAUUGCAUACUCUGGUGCCAUAUACCCACUGCAAAAUCAAAACAAAAAUUGCCUGACUUAAUUCUCUAACAUGGUAGUUAGGCACGAUUGGAGAAAGAUUUGAUGUGUAAAAUCUUCUUACGACAAAGGGGUGUGUCAAAGGAAGAUUCGUCAUAAGUUGAGAGAGGGGACAAAAUAUGUAUUAAGCCAAAGUUAUAUGACCAUUCAUCUCGACUUAUACUACUUUUAGGGACAAUCAAGUUAGCUCAACCAAAUUGAGGUAACCAUUUCUCAAGUCCUGGUAACAUUUCAAGGAAAAAUUUGUUUUAAUAUCGAGGUUUUUAUUUGCUAAAAAUGAUUAAAGAAUGCUUCGUAUAAUGAUACAAAAAAUAACAGUCUAUCUAGUGAGAGAUGUUAAACUUACUAAGUCCCAACAAUUCUGUUUGUGUUGCCUUGUGUUUCAUCCAAUGUAAAUAGUCUUGCCAUGCCAAAGUCUGCAAUUUUAGGAUUCAUCUCUGCAUCAAGUAGAACAUUACCAGCUUUGAGAUCGCGAUGAAUGAUGCGAAGUCUAGAAUCCUAAUGAAGGUAAACAAUUCCCCUAGCUAUGCCUCCUAUGAUUUUGGAUCGCCUUUCCCAAUCCAGUUGGCUACGUUUAACUUGAUCUGGAGAUAAGAGGAAGAAUAUAACUUAUUAUGAUUGCCUUUCCCAAUUCAUAGUUGUGAACUUAGUUUUCCGGAACUAAAAUAAGGCAGAUAACCGGACUACAGUCAACAUGUCAAAUUACACUGACAAAACAUUAAGCAAUACAUACCAAAUAAAAAUUGGUUAAGGCUUGCAUUGGGAACAAAUUCAUAGACAAGAAGUCUCUCUGUUCCAUCCAGGCAAAAUCCAGUAACCUAACCAAAUUCCUGUGCUGAAGCCUGGCAACCAACAAGACCUCGUUUUUGAACUCUAGAUCACCUUGGCCUGAAUCUGCUGACAAUCUUUUCACUGCUACUUCUUGUCCAUUUUGAAGCUUACCCUGAAACAUAAUACGAGAGCAAAUUGAAGAAUCAAUUAUUAUAAGCUCAUCAACAACGAAUCCUCAACCCCAAGCUAAGUUGUGGUUUUGUGGUAUGAAUUGUCAAUGUCCAUUUUAUGCAUCAAGCAAGUCUAAUCACCUUAUACACAGGACCAAAUCCACCCUGUCCCAAUUUAUUAGCAUUUGAGAAGUUGUCUGUUGCUUCUCUAAUUAUAGAAAAAUCAUACUGCAAGGAUUCUACAUCGCUAAUAUCAUCCCCGAGUGUACCUUCACCAAAGUAGUAGUAAUAACAAAUAGAGUAUAUAGUGAAAAUUCAACUUUCCUUAAUCAUAUAAAUACUAUACGCUAUCUUACCUUGAAUUUUGUCCACCAGCUUCCUCUUUCGCUUCUUCAUUAAGAUGACAGAAAUACAUACAGCAAGAAUAACAACUAUAACAGUUGGCACAAUGAUAAUAAUGACGAGUCGAGCUUUUUUAUCAUCCUGCACUAUUGGAACUGUAUUAUCAUUCCCUGUUGGAGCCGUUUCAUUACCAUUCCCCAUUGGAGCUGUUUUAUCAUCAUUUCCUUAAGAAAAUGCUUCAAGUUAGUAUAAAAUUCUCGGUUUUUAACAACUCAUGUGAAAAUAAGUUACUAUCUUCCCUUUUCAGGUUAUUUCAGAAACUAUAGAUACUUAUUAAAUAUCACAAAUACAAUAUUGUUAUACCUCUAAUUUAAUAUGCUCGUCUUUAACACAAAUCAAAAUUUUGUUUUAUGAUUCUGAUGAACUGUGUGAUCCUCCCAUCUAAAGUUUUAAGUUAUUAGACGCCAAGAACAAUUACUUCAGUUCCACACAUGUCGGGAAAAAACUUAAAUUAUUGUACUUAGAGAUGACAUAUUUUAUUCACCUUAUUAUGUUUCAAUACAUCGAUUCUUUUUUCAUGUGUAUAGCUAAUUCUUUUUAUGUGUUUUCAAUACAUCGAUUCAUUAUUCAUGUGUAUGUCUAAUUCUUUUUAUGUGUCUGCUCUUCUGUCAUAUUUAAUAUUUGCAACCAUCUCGUCUAUAGGUUUGAUUAAAUUAAAUUGUUAAAUAAGGUAACUAAACUUUAUAGUAUCUACUUAGGUACAUAUGUCUUCAAAUGAAAGUGGAAAAAUAUAAUUUACCUGCAGGUGGCGGAGCUUCCAACGGCACAUCAACGAAGAAACGGGAAAUUUCAUAACGGAAGUUGCACCUAGGCCCAAUUAUUCUUCCACCCGUCUUUCCCAGGCAAGGACAUUGAGGCAUGGUUCCAUAAGCGUCAGUUAAGCAAUUGAAGCAAUUCAGGGGAGAUAAAUCAGGAGUACACUGCACAAGUGCAUAUAUAGUCUGAUCAUCUGGACCUGUCACAUUACCACUAGCAUAUUUUCGAAAGGGACCACCAUUUACAGCACGGUCUCGUAAAUUUUCCAGUAAUUUACCCAGUUCCUGGUUAAAUUCCUCGGGUUUUGAGGCAUUCGCUGGAUUCCAAAGAAAGUAUCGUAUAGACAACGAUUGAGUAUUUAUAAUGGAUUGAUUCGAGUAAUGCAACAAGCAUCCAUCAUAGCCACCAAUAACUUCUUUUUGGGUAGGACAUAACUGUACAAGUUUUUGAGCAGCGUUAUGGACACAACUGCGACAAUCGUCUAGCUCCACAUCUCCUCUACAUAGCACAAUACCACUGACCUGGUCGGUGUUUUGGCCAAUGGAAUCAUAGUAGAAACCAUAGUUAUCUAUUUUUGAGGAAAGGGAAGUGAGGAGUGUGUUUAGAUUGUUCUUGUAGGUACUAUUCUCAGUAUAGUUACCAUUCCUACCACAUGAACCGUAUCGUAAAUCAGGCACCUGCGCUACAAUAUUGAGAACAUGUAUAUACAAAAACAGAAAGAGUAGCACCUCCUGAAUACCCAUGGUCAUGGUUGUCUAAGUUGCAUUUCCAUCUCUAGAAGCUUAGAUAUUUUGAGAUCAAAGGUAAAAUGAGUUGGCUUUUAUUUUUUCUUUUGGUUUACAAAAAGAUGCGUCACGUCAUUAAAGGUAGUCCUACCUAAUACUCAUCCGUCCAACAAUAAUUGUCCACUAUUAAUUUGGGACAGAAAUUAAGAAACAGUAAAUCAUGAUAUGAAUAAUUUUACCAAAUCACCUAUAUUAAAUAUAAGUCAUUUAAAUAUUAAAAAAUGAACAACAUUUAAAAGUAAAGAUAAAAUAGACACAAAAAAUAAAUUAUUCAUAAACUUUAUAAACUAAACCAGUACUGUUACACAUAUAUCACUUUCUGCAAAAGAUAAAACUUCUGAUGACUUGGUCUGUAUCUUUGUACUUGCCAAAUUUUUCUCGUUAGAAUUUAUGAAAUUCGUACUCUAAUUUAUGGAGAUAAUGGGAAUUGGGACAGGAGUGGAUACCAAGACGCCACCAAGGUUGCAAAUUUUGACCGCCACUUGCUCAUCAACUUUAUAUGAUUACUCCAGAAAAUGAAGUCCAACUAAUUUUCUACAAGUACCAUAUUUUCCUUUUUUUCCUAGUCUUUUAAAUUUUAAUCCACAAUGAUUUCUUUAGAAUUUUGGCUUUCCAGAUUCCUUGUACUGCAGUUAUCUUUAUAUCUUGACUGAUUCAUAGUGAUUAAUUCACAAAGCAAUUUGUACUUCUGUAGGUAUUUGGACAUAAUAUAAAUAGCUGAUAUUUUUUCAACGUGCUUGAAGUGAAUGACUUGUUUGGUAAAUUUCUAGAAUCAAUUGUUUUUUUUCAAAAAAAAAAAAAUAAUAAUUUAAAAGUGUUUUCAUAAAAAAGUAAUUUUGAUAAGAAGACAAAAAUCACGUUUGAACAAUAAUUAAUGUUUAACCAAACUUUUAUAUGUGUUUUAUGUAUACUAGUUCUAAAAACGUGUGUUGCACGUUUAUCCCAAAUUACUUCAUAUAAAUUUUAUAUUGCAAAUGACAUAUUUUAUCCCCUUCAAAUCUAUUGGUAUUUACAAAAAAAAAAAAAAAUCAUCCUUUUUUCUAAACUAAAGAUCAAAAGCUGAACCAAGCUCAUUGAUGUAAAGAUUCAAUGUUUUCUGAAUUUUGACCUCUGACUGAGUAAAUACAAUGAGGAACUUCCUAAACAUCUCAAGUAUCUCAUUAUCAGACCAUUAAAAACUCUUGAAAAUUCCAUUUUUUCUGUUCACGGUAGAUUUUUUUCCGAGGCUGAUGUAUGGAAUUCAUAAGGGAACAUAGGAGAGGUGAGCGGAACUCGCUCUCUACCCUAUGCAAAAUUUAUAUUAAAGAACGAAUGAAAGCAUUAAGACUGACCACUUAAAAACCAUUUGUAUCUUUGUAGAUGAAGUUGGAGUAUAUAUAAUUUUAUCGAUGGAAACUCUUCAGAUUCUUUAACUUAAAAUUAAAUAAGAGGAGUUGUUUUGAAAUGCUCGGACUUCAACUUACUUCAAGGUAUUUCAUUCCCUGUUGGAGCCGUUUCAUUACCAUUCCCCAUUGGAGCUGUUUUAUCAUCAUUUCCUUAAGAAAAUGCUUCAAGUUAGUAUAAAAUUCUCGGUUUUUAACAACUCAUGUGAAAAUAAGUUACUAUCUUCCCUUUUCAGGUUAUUUCAGAAACUAUAGAUACUUAUUAAAUAUCACAAAUACAAUAUUGUUAUACCUCUAAUUUAAUGUGCUCGUCUUAAACACAAAUCAAAAUUUUGUGUUAUGAUGGCAAUGAACUGUGUGAUCCUUCCAUCUAAAGUUUUAAGUUAUUAGACGACAAGAACAAUGUAAUGACCCUAAAGGUCAUUUUUUGGAAAUUUUCAUAAAAUGACCGUUUUACCCCUCCCGAUAGUUGCCCCGAGUCCUAAUUGUUGUAUUUCCGAAGUUGGUUUGGAGGAAAAUUGAUGAAAAGUUGAGUUUUUGGAAAGUUGAGUUUUUAAUAAUUGAAAUUUGGUUAAAAGUGCUAUUUCGAGUCAUUUGGAGUUUCGAGACUCGAAUCGGAUUUCCGUCGAUUCCAGCAGUUUUAGAAUGUCGAAACGGGUCUAUGAGAAUUUACGGAGUCGAAUUUGGAGUUAAAACGAAGAUUUGAGGUCCUAAGUUGCUAAAAUUGUGAAAUUUUGAUCAAGAGUUGACUUUGGUCAACAAACGAGGUUCCGGUGCUCGAAAUGGAAUUCCAAGGGCACCGUUGGAUUCAGGGGGUGAUUCUAAGUCUAGAAUGAGUCUUGGUUGAAUUUUUAGAGGCCCCGAGUGCAUUUCGAGUUUUUGAGCCUAAAGUUAGUUUCUUGACGCCUUAUCGGAUACCGGAUCAAGGAGACCUCGAAUUCAAAUUUCGACGAUUUCAUUGACUCCGAAAUGUCAUUUUCAAACUGGUAGCAUAUUUGGUUUGUGUUCGGGAAGUGUCAAAUGAGUUUUGGGUGAGCUUUUAAGCUUCUUGGAUGCUUUGACACUAUUUCAGCAAAUUGUGGCAACUAAAGGGUUCAUUAUUAGUUUUAAAGGUCGAAAUCUUUUCCCAAAGGUUCUGAAAUUUUGAGCAUGAAUUACAGGACUUAUCUGCAAAUUUUGGUGCAUUAUCGCUAAUCCGAGAUUGAACUUUUAUCGCAAAUAAGAAAUAAUUGUUUACCGAGUAGAAAUGAUAUUUGACUGGGCAAACGAGCAUGAAAUUGAGCUCCGAUUGAACGAGCAGGUCCGUAUCAUUAUUUAAGACAUUUACAAAAAAGAAUCGGGUCAUUUCACUAUCGUAUGAGGAAAUUACGGCCUUUUUAGUGAAGGAUUUAACUGCUGUUUUUCUGGUGCAUAACAGUCAUGCACUGUUAUAAAAAUCUCAGACUGUGUUCAUUUGGUAUUUUGAGCAUAUCGGGAGUUCUAGAGAUCGGAAUGGAGUGAUUCUUACGGGUUUCUUCUUGAAUUAAUAUGAGGGUUAGUAUUCAAUCUUAAAUUCGACAUUUUCUCAUAAUUUCUUUAUCUGGUUUUAUUUUCCCUAUCCGUAAACCUCUUGGAAAAAAUUGGGGUUUUAUCGAUUUGGACUCCCUUUUUGAUGAAAAAGGUAUAUUUACGAUCCUUAUGUUAUGGGUAAACUGAUUUUAACAUAAAAUUAUUGAUUCAUCGAUUAUUUUCAUCAUAUUAACCGCGUACAAUUUGGACUUUCCCGGUAAAGUUAAAGUUUGAUAAAUUGAGAAUUUCAAGGUCGAUCUUAACUCCGUUUUUGAUGAAAUUUCAUAUUUGAACUUAUCUAAGCAUGGGUAAGAUGUUUUUCAAGAAAUAUUUCAUUUUCGAGUCGGGGUUUCGGAUCCAAAUAUUUUAGGCUUCUUCAAGAACGUGGAUUUUCCUUCAAAUUGAGUUUGUGAACUCAUUUCAACUCCUUUUUCGAAACGGUUUUCACUAUUGGAUUCUAAAUUUCUUGGGGAACAUUUUUCACUAAAAAUUUCCAGAUUUCGAGAAUAUUUUCCGGAACGAGAUUUUUGACCAUUUUACCCUUGUUCUCCAAAUUUCACGAUAUUGGUGUUGUUAGAUUCGUAUUUAUUGUGGGAUUCCAUUUAUGAAUAGAUUGUGGUGAUUUGGAGCGUGCUCGGAAGGGUAAAACUCAAAUUUGAGUUACUAGUUGAAGUGUUUUGAGGCAAGUGACUUCUAAACUUUGUUAAACUCUUAGACUACGCAUGACUACUUUCCUAAUUGUGUUGGGGAGUAAGGGGGAUUGAGGAUGGGUUUUAUUUGUUGAUUGGAAUUGUUGUAAAUGAAAGAUGGGGAAAUAAAACGAGCUAAAUGUGUUAUAUGUGACUUGAAUUUGUUGAAUAAGUCAUGUGAUAACUCAUAUUGAGGGGAUAGAAGAGCAUGAGUAGGCUAUGAUUGAUACAGACAUUGAUGUUGAAACAGAUGAUGUGUAAUACUAUGAUGUGGUCGUGAUAUGGUUGUGAUUGAAACAGAUGAUGUGUAAUACUAUGAUGUGGUCGUGAUAUGGUUGUGAUUGAAACAGAUGAUGUGUAAUACUAUGAUGUGGUCGUGAUAUGGUUGUGAUUGAAACAGAUGAUGUGUAAUACUAUGAUGUGGUCGUGAUAUGGUUGUGAUUGAAACAGAUGAUGUGUAAUACUAUGAUGUGGUCGUGAUAUGGUUGUGAUUGAAACAGAUGAUGUGUAAUACUAUGAUGUGGUCGUGAUAUGGUUGUGAUUGAAACAGAUGAUGUGUAAUACUAUGAUGUGGUCGUGAUAUGGUUGUGAUUGAAACAGAUGAUGUGUAAUACUAUGAUGUGGUCGUGAUAUGGUUGUGAUUGAAACAGAUGAUGUGUAAUACUAUGAUGUGGUCGUGAUAUGGUUGUGAUUGAAACAGAUGAUGUGUAAUACUAUGAUGUGGUCGUGAUAUGGUUGUGAUUGAGACAGAUGAUGUGUAAUACUAUGAUGUGAUCGUGAUAUGAUUGUGAUUGAUGACAUGUGCAUAUUCAUUAUUCAUCCCAUGUGUGAACUAUCUGUUGCAUGAGUUCUGAGACACUGAUAUGAGGAUGGAUGGAUAUGAGACACAGUUGAAACUAGCUCCGACUAGAGAUAUAUGAGAUGGACUAGCUCCGGCUAGCGAUUUGGAUGCCGAUGGGAUCUGGUUCCGGCGGUGAUACAUGGUCCAUGUGUGGCCCCCAUGGGUUCUGAUUUGAGUAUUCAGCGCGGACUGAUUACGUCAACAGAUGUGUAUCGUAGGACAGACAUGCAUCACGACUACAUGACAUCAUUAUUGCAUUUGCAUCGCAUUUCACUUCAUCUUUGUCUGUGGUGUGUGGAUUUUACCUAUUUGCCCCUCUUCAUGUGAUAUAUGAUCUAUUUGCUCUUAUAUGAGGAUAUGAGGUUGAUUUUGAGACACUGUUGGAUAUAUAUGUUGAUUAUGAAUUGUGUAGUAUUUUUUUUAUAACCAAGUCUUCCGCUUAUUUAUUAUCUCUUAUUCUCGUAUUUCUAUUUCUCUAUCGUUGUGGUUGAGUUAGGCUGACGUGUCCGGUGGGAAAUGGACACGUGCCAUCACAUCCGGAUUUGGGAUGUGACAAACAAUUUCUUCAAUUCCACACAUGUCGGGAAAAAACUUAAAUUAUUGUACUUAGAGAUGACAUAUUUUAUUCACCUUAUUAUGUUUCAAUACAUCGAUUCAUUAUUCAUGUGUAUGUCUAAUUCUUUUUAUGUGUCUGCUCUUCUGUCAUAUUUAAUAUUUGCAACCAUCUCGUCUAUAGGUUUGAUUAAAUUAAAUUGUUAAAUAAGGUAACUAAACUUUAUAGUAUCUACUUAGGUACAUAUGUCUUCAAAUGAAAGUGGAAAAAUAUAAUUUACCUGCAGGUGGCGGAGCUUCCAACGGCACAUCAACGAAGAAACGGGACUUAGGUACACAUGUCUUCAAAUGAAAGUGGAAAAAUAUAAUUUACCUGCAGGUGGCGGAGCUUCCAACGGCACAUCAACGAAGAAACGGGAACUUUCAUAACGGAAGUUGCACCUAGGCCUCUUUCCCAGGCAAGGACAUUGAGGCAUGGUUCCAUAAGCGUCAGUUAAGCAAUUCUGAGGAGAUAAAUCAGGAGUACACUGCACAAGUGGAUAUAUAGUCUGAUAAUCUGGACCUGUCACAUUACCACUAGCAUAUUUUCGAAAGGAACCACGAUUUACAGCACGGUCUCGUAAAUUUUCCAGUAAUUUACCCAGUUCCUGGUUAAAUUCCUCGGGUUUUGAGGCAUUCACAGUAUUCCGAUGAAAAUAUUGAACAGACAACGAUUGAGUAUUUAUAAUGGAUAGAUUCGAGUAAUGCAACAAACAUUCAUCAUAGCCACCAAUAACUUCUUUUUGGGUAGGACAUAACUGUACAAGUUUUUGAGCAGCGUUAUGGAUACAACUGCGACAUUCUUUUAGCUCCACAUCUCCUCUACAUAGCACAAUACCACUGACCUCGUCGGUGUUUUGGCCAAUGGAAUCAUAGUAGAGAAGAGUGUGUUAAGAUUCUUCUGGUAUGCACUAUUCUCAGUAUAGUUACCAUUCUUACCACAUCUACUGUAUUGUAAAUCAGGCAGCUGCGCUACGAUAUUGAGAACUUGUAUAUGCAAAAACAGAAAGAGUAGCACCUUCGGAAUAGCCAUGGUCAUGGUUGUCUAACUUGCAUUUCCAUUUGUAGAAGAUUAGAUAUUUUGACAUCAAAGGCAAAAAUGAGUUGGCUUUUAUUUUUAUUUUUUUAGCUUAAAAAAACAUGCGUCAGGUCAUUAAACUAGUUGUACCUAAUAUUCUUUCUGUCUAAUAAUAAUUGUAAUUUAGGACAGAAAUUAAGAAAUACUAGUAAAUGAUAGAUAUAAUUUUACCAAAUUAUCCUUAUUAAAUAUAAGUCUUUUAAAUAUUAAAAAAUGAACAUUUAAAAAUAAGAAUAAAAUAGACAUAAAAUAAUAAAUCAUUCAUUAAUUUUAUAAACUGAACCAGAAUUAUCACUUUCUGGCUUAAGUGACCUUUUGAGUGAAUUGACCUAGCAAAAGAUAAAACUUCUGAUGACGUGGUCUAUAUCUUUUUGAUUUGCCAAAUUUUACUCCUUAGAAAAUACUGUAUGAAAUUCGUAGACUCUAAUUUAUGGGGAUAAUGGGAAUUGGGACAGGAGUGGAUACCAAGAAGCCACCAAGGCUGCAAAUUUUGACCUCAUCAACUUUAUAUGAUUACUCCAGAAAAUGAAAUCCAACUUAUUUUUUACAAGUACCAUAUUUUCCUUUUUUUCCCUAGUGUUUUAAAUUUUAAUCCACAAUAAUUUCUGGGAAUUACUCCUACAAAAGAAUUUUAAAAAAUUGCUCAAGUUCGCUGCAGUGGAUCAUUUAUAUUAUAUUUUUCCUGUCUUUAAUUACUUAUUCACUUUUAAAUUGACACACCUAUUAAGAAAAUAAUAAUUGACAUAGUGAAUUUACCAUUUUAUCCCUAUUGAUUAUGAAGUGGAUGAAUUAAAAACUUCAAAUUUUCAAGAAGUAUUACCUUUUUCAAAAUAAUUAAUUAAUGGUAUAAUAGAUAAAAAAUUUUUAUCAUUUCUUGAUUUGUCAAAAUAGACAAGUAAUUAGGAACAACUAUAAAAGAAAAAUUGGACAAGUAAUUAAGGACGAGGGAGUAUGUCCUUGUAUCUUCUCUGUUGCUCUUCCGACCAUACACUUAAAUAUUUGUGAAAUUUCCAACAAAGGGGUGUCAUCAUAAACUUGGGAAGAAAAAAAAUUGAAAGUCCUAAAAAGGGAUUAAAGAAAAAAAUGUCAACUUUUGACUUGGUUUACAUCUCAAAAGUUGACAAAUUGAAUCUCCAAAUUCAACUAGUCUAAUUUAUGGGGUGAUGGGACAGGAGAGUAUAAGAACAAGCUACCGAGGUGGAAACGUUUCUAAUUACAGACUUCUGUCCGUACUAUAAUACUUCCUCCGUCUCAUUUUAUAUGUCAUGCAUUUUUAUAAAUAGUUAGUGUAUAAUAUUUGUCAUUUCAUAAAAUCAAUUCAUAAAUUACCAUAUUGUUCCUUUUUUUAUCCUUGUGAAUUAUUAGUCUUGAAAAUAUACAUUGACCAACUUAGAAAAGUUAAGUAAAUAAUUCAUGUUUAUUGGUUAAAUUAAUUAAUCAAAAUAAAUUAUUCAUAUUCAUUGAUUGAAAACUUGAGUUCCAAAAAAAUUAAAUAAGAAUAGAAAGGUAAAGUUAAAUCAUUUCUUAAUACAAGUGUAAAGUAAAAAAGUAAUAAAAUGGGAUGGAGGGAGUAGUUGGCUACCUUAUUAAAAUAUAUGUUUUGAAUUAUGUGUCUAUUUAUUAAAUUAAAAUAAAAUAAAAUUAAUUCUACCCCUAUUAUUAGUACUUUUUGAAAGCCUAAAUAAAUUUAGAAUUUUUUUAAAAAAUAAACAAGAGUUCAUUAUUUUGUAUCUAUUCUAAUGAUAUAUAUUUAUGUGCCCUAUGUUAUUAAAUAUAUUUUUCAUGAAUUAUCGUAAUGUACAUCAAUAAAAAUAACGAAAAAUUUAGUUAUCUGAUAUGUAAUUUCUCAAACACCACAUAAAAUAAAAGAUAAUCAAUCAAUAUGAAACGGAAUGAGUAAAAUUUUAUAUGAUUCCAGAAUACGAAAAGUUAUUUUGGCUCUUCCAAUAGUAUAAAGUUGUACGUAAUGAGUUCCUAGAAAUAGGGACUUUUUCCUUUCCUCCUCUUUUCUUUUUCCUUUUGCCCGUCCAUAAAGUUGAAAAGACGUGCGAGAUGCCCAUAUGAUGCUACCUUACAAACCAAGCCAGUUAAAAUGAAUAUGGAUGUAUUUAGCUCCAAGUUAAAUACUUUCUGUUCCUAAUUAUUUGUCAAUUUUUAAAUUGACACUUAUUAAGAAAAUAAUAAUUGACAUAGUGAGUUUAUCAGUUUAUCUCUAUUAAUUAUGAAGUGGAUAAAUUAAAAACAUAAGAUUUUCAAGAAGUUCGACCUUUUUCAAAAUAAUUAAUUGAGGGUAUAAUAGGUAAAAAAAAUUGUCCUUUCUUAAAUUGCAAAAUAGAUAGGAAUAACUAUAAAAGGAAAUAUGAACAAGUAAUUAGGAAAAAAAAGAGUAUAACUAUUUUAAAACUAUACAUUGUAUUAAAAUGAGUGUUAUUUUUUUUUACAUGUAAACUUUACAAUAAUUGCUAGCUAGACUACAAGUCCAAGGCACGUACACUAAAAGUGGUACCAACACAUAAAAUAAGUAAACUCGGAGAAAAAGGCUACAAAUAUUUCAUUUGACUUGGUCUACAUCUCAGAAGUUGACAAAUUCAAUCUUCAAAGUUAACAAGUCUUUUAUGGGAGUAAAUAACAUAAAUGGUCCCUAAACUAUUAUAGUAUGUCUAAAAUAGUCCAUUAACUAUACCGUUAACAAAUAUAGUCCUUUAACUAUCUACAAUCUUGUCAAGUUUGGUCUAUAUCUACUUUUUAUAAAUAAAUAAAAACUUGUAAUUCUAAUUUAAUCUCUAUCUCCUGACUUUUUUUUUGCCACUUCUUUGCUCUAUUAUCUCACUAUUUCUUCACUUUAUUUUGUCCAAUUCUUUUUUUUCUACUGUCUUACUGUAAUUGUGUGUUGGUCGUUAUUUUAUUUGAGUUGAAUCAAAUUGCAGCUCUAAAAACACCAAAAAAAUCAGCAUGAAAUUGUACAUAACACAGCACUAGACAACAACAUCAAACCAUUAAAAUAUCAAUACCAAACUACUACAUCAGACUACGAAAAAUUUGCACCAAAAGCACUCGAGCACCAAAUAUCAGCUGCAAACUGCACAAAAUAUAGCACAGAAACUGCACCAAACUACACAAAAACUGCACCAAAAAACAUCACCAAGCUACCCCAAACUGCACAAAAACAACACCAAACUUGACAAGGUUUUCUUUACUAUAGCAGCGUCAAUGAAGAAAAGAAGAGGGAAAAAGAAAAUCAAGAGAGAGUAGCUGUAUUAUGAAGUUUGUUAACGGUGUCUAUAAAAGUAGAUACAGACCAAACUUGACAACAUUAUAGAUAGUUAAGGGACUAUUUCCGUUAAGUGUAUAGUUUAGGGACUAUUUUAGAUCUACUGUAAUAGUUUAAGGACCAUUUAUGUCAUUUUCUUUCUUUUAUGGGGGUGAUGGGACAUGAGAGAAUAAGAACAAGCUACCGAGGUGCAAAAUUUGUACUUGCUUUUACUUGAACGUUUCUAAUUACAUACAUACUUUUCCAACCCUACUAUAAUAUAUAGUUGGCUAUCUUAAUAAAAUUAUAUGUUUCGAAUCAUUUGUCUACUUAUUAAAUUGAAUUUAAAAAAUUCAUUUAACUCCUAUUAUGAAUACUUUUUGAAUAUCUUAAUGUACAUCAGAAUGAAUUAGAGAAAUUAAUUAUUUGAUAUAUAAUUUCUUAAACAUCAUAUAAAAUGAAAGAUAAUCAAUUAAUAUGAAACAAAACAAGUAACAUUUUAUAUGAUUUUAGUAAACGAAAAGUUAUUUGGCUCUUCAAAUAGUAUAAAGUGGUAUGGAAGGAGUUCCUAGAAAUUGAGACCUUUUCCUUUCCUCUUGUUUUCUUAGUUAAAUAACUACUCAUUUUAAAACUAUGCAUUGUAUUAAAAAGAGUGUUACUAUUACAUAUAAACUUUAUAAUAAUUAUUGUUAGCUAGACUACACGUACACUAAAAGUGGUACCAACACAUAAAAUAAGUAAACUCAGAGAAAAAGGUUAUCAUACUAAGGAUGUUAACGAGGAUAUAACUCAGAUAUGGAUGCCUCAUUUCGUGAUGAACCAAUAGAUUUACUUUUGGCUAGUUCACUAGAGUCUGUCAUUCUUGUGUUGUAUUCUUUAAUAAGCGACGUCUCUGCGGUAAUAUUACUGUGCAUAUAGAAUGCUGGCCCUGAAGGCAUUGGAAGACUCAACGAAAAGCUACUGAGCAUGAGAACAACAGCUGCCAUGGUUGGUCUAUCAGCCACACUUUCUUGAACACACAAUAAAGCUAUGUGAAUGCUUCUCAUUAUGUCACGAAUCAGUCCUGUGCUUUCCUUCAGCAUUGGAUCUACAAAAUCUAUAGUUGUUCCAUUACGCCAGCUUAACCAAGCCUGUAUGUGAAUGUGAUAGUUCAAUUAUCAGAAUAAGAUGAAAUUCUCUGACCAUUUCACAAAAUUAAUACUUGAUUGAUUGGCCAGGUUACUUACAAAACUCAAAAGGUCUUCCACCGAUUCUCCAUUUCUGAAACAAGUGUUUUUUUGGCCACUUAAAAUUUCUAAGACUAGUACUCCAAAGCUAAAAACAUCUGACUUUACGGAAAAUUGCCCGUGCAUUGCAUACUCUGGUGCCAUAUAUCCACUGUGAAACAAAAACAACAAUUACGUAACAUUCCGCAACUUAUAUAACAUUGCAUAUUUAGUAGUCCAAACAGUGGGAUCAGCAAAACUAAAUAGCUGUUAAAACAGGGAACUACUUGAUGUUAAAAGUCAGAACUACAUGUUUCAUUAAUGAUCUGGGACAUUUUCUCAAGGAAGUCGAAAGCACAAAUUGGGUUGUUAUGUCUUACUGCAAUGUGAAGACAACAUCUUAGACCACUGAUCUAUUCUUGGCUGAGCAAAUAACAAGUUUUGAUGAGUUAAGACCAAUAUCUUGUAUUUUGCUACCGCGAGAUCAUAUCUGAUAACCUCUUUGAACAAUGAGAGUUCAUAUGCAGAAAAGAAGAAGAUAUUUUUGUUCUAAACAAAAUCAAAUUUAGCUUAUUCAUUUCCAGAACUCUGUUUUGGCCGAAGAUCCUGAACUUCAUUUUAAUCAUUAGAGAUUGCAACUUUGGUAGUGACCAAAUUGAGAACAAAACUCUAGGUAUAUAACCAUCAUCUUGAAUAAUACUGAGUUUGUACACCACGAAAGUCCUAGUUCAACAAAAUUGAGGUAAGCAUUCCUAAAGAUAGUACAAUGAUGAGCAAAAUUCAUAUUGAAAAUUCUAAUAACAAUUCAAAGAAAGAUUUUCUUUUGUCUCGAGGCAGCUUUUAUUCUAGCUAAGUUGUUAAAUAAUCCUUCCUAGCAAAAUGCUAAUAACAGUCUAUCCAACGAGAGAGGUAAAACUUACUAGGUCCCAACAAUUCUGUUUGUGCUGCCUUGAGUUUCAUCUAAUUCAAAUAGCCUUGCCAUGCCAAAAUCUGAGAUUUUAGGAUUCAUUUCUGUAUCUAGUAGAACAUUACUAGCUUUGAGAUCACGGUGAAUGAUCCGAAGCCUAGAAUCCUCAUGAAGAUAAAGAAUUCCCUUAGCAAUGCCUCCUAUUAUUUUGGAUCGCCUUUCCCAAUCCAAUUGCCUACGUUUAACUGAAUCUGCGAACAAGAUGAAGAAUAUGAAAAUAAAAUAAAAUUCUAAGUCACUUAAAAUGUUACUACAGGCAACUGCUCAUUAUAAGUGCAAUUAGUUCUAUGGUAUAUAAGGCAGACAACCAGACAAGAUAUCGAAUUACAUUGAUAGAAUAACUUUUGUUAGGGGUGUACAUGGUCGGGUUGGUUCGGGUUUUUUAAAUAUCAAACCAAAUCAUUUGUGUCGGAUUUUUGAAUUUAUAAACCAAACCAAACCAAUAAAACUCGGGCUUUUCAACCUCAGAUUUUUUCAGAUUUUUUUGGGUUUUUUGGAUUUUCGGGUUUUUCUAGUAAAGUAUUCAUACAAACAUAUAAUUUACUUGUACUUCAAAUAUUUCUUUAGUCCUACCAAAAUACAACUAUCUAAGGUGUUUCUUAAGAAAAUAACACAAAAUAUGAUAUGAUUAAUGACAUUAAAAUAUCCAACAAAAAAAUAAUAAUGAAAUCGCGUAAAACAAAUAUUGCAAAUUAAUAAGUAAUAAUGAAAAUAAUCAUAAUUUAAAAGUACUAAAUCAUGCUAAAAUAAGUUUAAUAAGUAUUAGUUACAUGACUAAGUAUUAAAGGAAAUUAAAAAUUAGAUUAUGUACUUUAAUUGUCUAAACCUUUGUAAAACUAAAGAACAAAUAUUCAAUAUUAUUGUCAUUCUUAGUGUUGAAUUGAUUUUCUUUUUGCAUUAGUAUUAAUUCGAUUUUGAUUUAAACUUUAUUAUAAUUACCAACAUCUAUGAACUAUAAUCUUUAUGAACUAUUAAGAAUUCUAAGUUUCAAACAUGAAAUAAUAUAUUAAAAGAUAAAAACUAUGAAAAAAGUAUAACAAAAUAUUUAAAAAUUAUAUCAAAGUAAAUAUUUUUACGUAUAAAAUAAAAUUUUAAAAUUAAUAUAUAUAAUGUCGGGUUGGUUUUUUUUUAGUUAAAACCAAACCAACCCAAAUAUAGUCGGAUUUUUUAUUUCAAUACCAAAUCAAGUCAAACCAAACCACUAGUCGGAUUUUUUUUUCGAUUUGACUCGUUUUACAGUUUGGUUCGGUUUUCGAUUCAAUUUUGUACACCCCUACUUUUGUAUAUAAGUUAAAUUCAUAACUUAUUGAUGCUCAAGCUCAAUAUUGAUAAAAAGUCAAGCAGUACAUACCAAAUAAGAAGUGGUCAAGACUUGCGUUGGGAACAAACUCAUAGACAAGAAGUCGCUCUGUUCCGUCUAGGCAAAAUCCCAGCAACCUAACCAAAUUCCUGUGUUGAAGCCUGGCAACCAACAAGACCUCAUUUUUGAAUUCUAGAUCACCUUGGCCUGAAUCUGCUGAUAACCUUUUCACUGCUACUUCUUGUCCAUUUUGAAGCUUACCCUAAAAUAUAAAUGAAAACAAAUUGAAAAAAUAUGAACUAAAGCAAUGAAAUUAUAACAAGUACUCAUAUUCAGUGGAAAGAAUAUUUGUACAAUAGAAGUUAAAAUCAUGCUACAAUAUGUAAGUUUAAUUACCUUGUACACAGGACCAAAUCCGCCUUCUCCGAGCUUAUUAGCAUCUGAGAAGUCAUCUGUUGCUGCUCUAAUUGCCGAAAAUCAUAUUGAAAAGAUUCUGCAAUACUAGUAUCAUCUACAGAUGUACCUUCACGAACAUAGUAGUAAUAGCUUACAACAAAUUAGUGAAACAUGGUCUUAAUAAUUCAACUUUCCUGAAUUAUUGUUUGUUUAUAGUUUACGCUUACUCUGAAUUUCGUUCACCAGCUUCCUCUUGCGCCUCCUUAUCAUGAUGACAGCAAUACAAAUCAUAAGAAUAACAAUUGUAACAGUUGACACAACGAUAAUGAUAAUUGUUCGUGUUGUUUUAUCAUCCUUCCCUGUUGGAGGUGUUUUAUUUUCCGUCCCUGUUGGAACUGUUUUAUUAUCAUUUCCUACAAAAAAAAAAAAAAAAAGUUUCAAGUUAGUACAAUAUCUUCUCAUUCCCAAUUCACUUGUCUUACUUUGCUUUUAAGAAUAACUAAGAAACUUUGCGUAUUACCUAUUGAAUAUCACAAAUACAAUUGGUCCUAUAAUAUAGUAUGUUCUUCCAGCCUUAACUCAUGUCAAAGACUUGUGGUUGUGUUGAAUUGUAUGAUCUAUCUCAUCUAAAGUCUUAAGUUGUUAUACAUAGUACACUUGUCUUUCGCCCCAUGAAUUGGUUAUUCCUAAACGAGUCAUGAAGGGUAUAACGAAUAUACCUUGUCUCCACAUUGGAUCAAGAACAGGAUCUGACUUGUUUGGCUUUGUGCCUAGACAGUUUGCAUUUCGUAAAACUAAAAAAGACUAGGACACCCCCUUCUUUUGAUUUACGUUCCAUCAGUCUCAUAGAAUGGGGUAGGUAGGAGAUAAUCAGUGAUCGGAAGGCGUUCAUUUCAAUCUCUAUAAACAGUGACAAUUUCUCAAUCUAUUUGAUUGAAUUGAUAGAUACGAAACCUCCCCAUUCUUAGGAUUUUAUCAAUCAGAUGAAAAAAAAAAAAAGAUUUAUACUUGACGUCUUCAACACGCCACCUCAAGUGCGAGCCUGAUUCUCUUUUAUGAGUCAAGCAAACAGUAAAUCUUCUUGAUAGAUGGUGACAAAGAGAUUUGAAUGAAGAACCAUAUUGAAUUGUGUUACUAUAUAUCUCAUCUAAAAACUUAAAACUAUUUGAUUUUUAUUUAAUUAAUUAUGUCUUCAACAGUCUCAAUCAAAAUUGGAUAUUGAUAAAAUUGGGAUUAGCAAAAGGAACAAUAAAAACUGUGUUCACCUGCAGGUGGCGGAGCUUCCAACGGCACAUCCACGAAGAAACGGGAAAUUUCAUAACGGAAGUUGCACCUAAUCCCUAUGAUUCUUCCACCGGUCUUUCCCAGGCAGGGACAUUGAGGCAAGGUUCCAUAAGCGUCAGUUAAGCAAUUGAAGCAACUCUGACGAGAUAAAUCAGGAGUACACUGCACAAGUGCAUAUAUAGACUGAGAAUCUGGACCUGUCGCAUUACCACUAGCAUAUUUUUGAAGAGGACCACCCUGUGCAGCACGGUCUCGUAAAUUUUCCAAUAAUUUUCUUAGCUCCUGGUUAAAUUCCUCGGGUUUUGAAGCAUUCGCAGGAUUCCAAAGAAAUAAUUGAAUAGACAACGAUGGAGUAUCUAUAAUGGAUUGAUUCGAAUACUGUAACAUACAUUCAUCAUAGCCACCGAAAACUUCUUUUUGGUUAGGACAUAACUGUGCAAUCUUUUGAACAGCAUUAUCAACACAAACGCGACAAUCAUCUAGCUCCACAUCUCCUCUACAUAACACAAUAACGCUGGCUCUAUCAGAGUUUUGGCCAAUAGAAGCAUUGUAGAAACCGUAGUUAUCUAUUUUUGAGGAAAGGGAAGUGAGGAGUGUGUUUAGAUUGUUCUUGUAGGUACUAUUCUCAGUAUAGUUACCAUUCUUACCACAUAUACCGAAUCGUAAAUCAGGCAGCUGCGCUACAAUAUUGAGAACAUGUAAAUGCAAAAAUAGAAAGAAUAACCACUUUUGAAUAGCCAUGGCUAUGUCUGUUUAAGUUACAAGCAAGUUUUGAUAUUAGUGCAGAAUAUGUAAAAUAGAACCUAGAGCAGGAAGAGCUUGUAAAAAGAGUUGGAGAUAGCGUAUUGACCGGGGUGUAGCGAACUUCAUUUGUCUUGGCAGUACAAUUUCUGACAUAUUAGUUAAGCAAGAAAAGGACAUUGAUAUUUGAAGGUUAGCUGCAAAACUAAC